Molecule: long non-coding RNA, 597 nt
Filed under: Olea europaea (common olive)
Lineage: Eukaryota; Viridiplantae; Streptophyta; Magnoliopsida; Lamiales; Oleaceae
Description: long non-coding RNA (OEUR_LNC009172)
Source: RNAcentral
AUCAAUCAAGUCCUCCUAAAACAAGUGAAAAUUCAGAUUCAGCAUCUGCCCAGUCACCUUCCAAUUCCAGUGGGGAUGCUCAUGUAUAUUUAAUUAUGCAGCGUACUCUUCAUUCAACCACCUGAUAUUUUUUAAAUUUUAUACCUUUUGUUACCUAUCAAAAAUUUUUUUUUAUACCUUUUGUUUUCAACGCUGGAAAUUUCCUGUCAAAUCUUGAUCUAUAAGCCUUUGAUUGGUAUAAUUGGGUAUUCACUUGUCAUGUUAUGAAGAUGUUCACCUCGGAUUCUUCUAUAAUUAUGAGUAUUACAUUGUGUGAUAAAUCAACCUUGUUUUGUUAUUGCAUCCCACGUUUGCUUAUCAUUUUGGUUGCAAUGAUGUCAAAAACCAUAUUUUUACCUUCCUGUUGAUGAUCUGAUGAAGAAAUUUAUCCAUGAACUGAAUUUUAUGCAAUCUUGUCGGUAUGCUUUUGUCUGGUGAAUUUUACAUAAAAUAAAAAUUUCUUAUUUGAUUUACCUAUUUGACAUUGAUUGAUAUUAGCUUGUCUAUACAUUAUAUUCAUUUUGUUUCUAUCUCACAUUUCUUUUUCAUUGCAAGGCC